AUACGUAGGGGGCGAGCGUUGUCCGGAAUGAUUGGGCGUAAAGGGCGCGUAGGCGGCCCGGUAAGUCUGGAGUGAAAGUCCUGUUUUUAAGAUGGGAAUUGCUUUGGAUACUGUCGGGCUUGAGUGCAGGAGAGGUAAGUGGAAUUCCCAGUGUAGCGGUGAAAUGCGUAGAGAUUAGGAGGAGCAUCGGUGGCGAAGGCGGCUUACUGGGCCUUUACUGACGCUGAGGCACGAAAGCGUGGGGAGCAAACAGGAUUAGAUACCCUGGUAGUCCACGCUGUAAACGAUGAUGACUAGGUGUGGGGGGACUGAACCCUUCCGUGCCGCAGUUAACACAAUAGGUCAUCCACCUGGGGAGUACGGCCGCAAGGUUGAAACUUAAAGGAAUUGACGGGG
RNAcentral lists this ribosomal RNA (396 nucleotides) under uncultured bacterium. Its description in RNAcentral is "partial 16S ribosomal RNA". It matches the Rfam family "Bacterial small subunit ribosomal RNA", at positions 523 to 918 of the family's 1533-position model. The record is from RNAcentral.